RNAcentral lists this ribosomal RNA (446 nucleotides) under uncultured bacterium. RNAcentral's name for it is "partial 16S ribosomal RNA". It matches the Rfam family "Bacterial small subunit ribosomal RNA", at positions 338 to 795 of the family's 1533-position model. The record is from RNAcentral.
CCUACGGGGGGCAGCAGUCGAGAAUCAUUCACAAUGGGGGCAACCCUGAUGGUGCGACGCCGCGUGGGGGAAUGAAGGUCUUCGGAUUGUAAACCCCUGUCAUGUGGGAGCAAAUUAAAAAGAUAGUACCACAAGAGGAAGAGACGGCUAACUCUGUCCAAGCAGCCGCGGUAAUACAGAGGUCUCAAGCGUUGUUCGGAAUCACUGGGCGUAAAGCGUUCGUAGGCUGUUUCGUAAGUCGUGUGUGAAAGGCGCGGGCUCAACCUGCGGACGGAACAUGAUACUGCGAGACUAGAGUAGUGGAGGGGGAUGCGGAAUUCGCGGUGUAGCAGUGAAAUGCGUAGAUAUCGAGAGGAACACUCGUGGCGAAGGCGGGUUACUGGACAUUAACUGACGCUGAGGCACGAAGGCGAGGGGAGCGAAAGGGAUUAGAUACCCGGGUAGUC